This 562-nucleotide long non-coding RNA is filed under the name Homo sapiens (human). RNAcentral describes it as "HSALNT0337455". The record is from RNAcentral. Lineage: Eukaryota; Metazoa; Chordata; Mammalia; Primates; Hominidae.
CUCUUUUAUAAACAACCAGAUCUCAUGAGAAUUCACUCACUAUUACAAGAACAGAAAGGUUCUUGGUUCAUGGUUCAAUCAGCUCCUACCAGGCUCCUCCUCCAACAUUGGGGAUUACAAUUCAACAUGAAAUUUCAGCAGAGACACUGACUCAAAUCAUAUCAGGGAUAGGAAAUACGACCUGUCUCACUUUGAUCCAUAUUGAAGGCUUCGGAUUUCCUUCAUUCUCCAAGUGAUGCAAAACCAAGAUUCUCACCUAAGUGCUGAAACGACCUCAUAGCACAAAGGGGAGACAGAAAUUUUAAAAGGUAAUUAUGAAACAUAAAACAGAUGCUAAAAUGAAUAGAUGGGCAUAGACCUGUGGGACUGCAAAGCAAAACAAAUUAUUAAGGGUUUGAUGGUCAGUGUUAUCUAAACAUUGUGUAAACUUUUAAAUGUUUAUGAAUCCCAUCUCAGAGGUGUAACUAAUAUUUGUUUGUGUGUGUGUGUGUGUGUGUGAUACACUGAGCAACUGUAUACCACCUAGCAAGUGGCAUUCUUGCUUAGCGACUUACACUGGCCU